Molecule: ribosomal RNA, 2904 nt
Filed under: Escherichia coli
Lineage: Bacteria; Pseudomonadati; Pseudomonadota; Gammaproteobacteria; Enterobacterales; Enterobacteriaceae
Description: 23S ribosomal RNA
Rfam family: Bacterial large subunit ribosomal RNA
Source: RNAcentral
GGUUAAGCGACUAAGCGUACACGGUGGAUGCCCUGGCAGUCAGAGGCGAUGAAGGACGUGCUAAUCUGCGAUAAGCGUCGGUAAGGUGAUAUGAACCGUUAUAACCGGCGAUUUCCGAAUGGGGAAACCCAGUGUGUUUCGACACACUAUCAUUAACUGAAUCCAUAGGUUAAUGAGGCGAACCGGGGGAACUGAAACAUCUAAGUACCCCGAGGAAAAGAAAUCAACCGAGAUUCCCCCAGUAGCGGCGAGCGAACGGGGAGCAGCCCAGAGCCUGAAUCAGUGUGUGUGUUAGUGGAAGCGUCUGGAAAGGCGCGCGAUACAGGGUGACAGCCCCGUACACAAAAAUGCACAUGCUGUGAGCUCGAUGAGUAGGGCGGGACACGUGGUAUCCUGUCUGAAUAUGGGGGGACCAUCCUCCAAGGCUAAAUACUCCUGACUGACCGAUAGUGAACCAGUACCGUGAGGGAAAGGCGAAAAGAACCCCGGCGAGGGGAGUGAAAAAGAACCUGAAACCGUGUACGUACAAGCAGUGGGAGCACGCUUAGGCGUGUGACUGCGUACCUUUUGUAUAAUGGGUCAGCGACUUAUAUUCUGUAGCAAGGUUAACCGAAUAGGGGAGCCGAAGGGAAACCGAGUCUUAACUGGGCGUUAAGUUGCAGGGUAUAGACCCGAAACCCGGUGAUCUAGCCAUGGGCAGGUUGAAGGUUGGGUAACACUAACUGGAGGACCGAACCGACUAAUGUUGAAAAAUUAGCGGAUGACUUGUGGCUGGGGGUGAAAGGCCAAUCAAACCGGGAGAUAGCUGGUUCUCCCCGAAAGCUAUUUAGGUAGCGCCUCGUGAAUUCAUCUCCGGGGGUAGAGCACUGUUUCGGCAAGGGGGUCAUCCCGACUUACCAACCCGAUGCAAACUGCGAAUACCGGAGAAUGUUAUCACGGGAGACACACGGCGGGUGCUAACGUCCGUCGUGAAGAGGGAAACAACCCAGACCGCCAGCUAAGGUCCCAAAGUCAUGGUUAAGUGGGAAACGAUGUGGGAAGGCCCAGACAGCCAGGAUGUUGGCUUAGAAGCAGCCAUCAUUUAAAGAAAGCGUAAUAGCUCACUGGUCGAGUCGGCCUGCGCGGAAGAUGUAACGGGGCUAAACCAUGCACCGAAGCUGCGGCAGCGACGCUUAUGCGUUGUUGGGUAGGGGAGCGUUCUGUAAGCCUGCGAAGGUGUGCUGUGAGGCAUGCUGGAGGUAUCAGAAGUGCGAAUGCUGACAUAAGUAACGAUAAAGCGGGUGAAAAGCCCGCUCGCCGGAAGACCAAGGGUUCCUGUCCAACGUUAAUCGGGGCAGGGUGAGUCGACCCCUAAGGCGAGGCCGAAAGGCGUAGUCGAUGGGAAACAGGUUAAUAUUCCUGUACUUGGUGUUACUGCGAAGGGGGGACGGAGAAGGCUAUGUUGGCCGGGCGACGGUUGUCCCGGUUUAAGCGUGUAGGCUGGUUUUCCAGGCAAAUCCGGAAAAUCAAGGCUGAGGCGUGAUGACGAGGCACUACGGUGCUGAAGCAACAAAUGCCCUGCUUCCAGGAAAAGCCUCUAAGCAUCAGGUAACAUCAAAUCGUACCCCAAACCGACACAGGUGGUCAGGUAGAGAAUACCAAGGCGCUUGAGAGAACUCGGGUGAAGGAACUAGGCAAAAUGGUGCCGUAACUUCGGGAGAAGGCACGCUGAUAUGUAGGUGAAGUCCCUCGCGGAUGGAGCUGAAAUCAGUCGAAGAUACCAGCUGGCUGCAACUGUUUAUUAAAAACACAGCACUGUGCAAACACGAAAGUGGACGUAUACGGUGUGACGCCUGCCCGGUGCCGGAAGGUUAAUUGAUGGGGUUAGCGCAAGCGAAGCUCUUGAUCGAAGCCCCGGUAAACGGCGGCCGUAACUAUAACGGUCCUAAGGUAGCGAAAUUCCUUGUCGGGUAAGUUCCGACCUGCACGAAUGGCGUAAUGAUGGCCAGGCUGUCUCCACCCGAGACUCAGUGAAAUUGAACUCGCUGUGAAGAUGCAGUGUACCCGCGGCAAGACGGAAAGACCCCGUGAACCUUUACUAUAGCUUGACACUGAACAUUGAGCCUUGAUGUGUAGGAUAGGUGGGAGGCUUAGAAGUGUGGACGCCAGUCUGCAUGGAGCCGACCUUGAAAUACCACCCUUUAAUGUUUGAUGUUCUAACGUUGACCCGUAAUCCGGGUUGCGGACAGUGUCUGGUGGGUAGUUUGACUGGGGCGGUCUCCUCCUAAAGAGUAACGGAGGAGCACGAAGGUUGGCUAAUCCUGGUCGGACAUCAGGAGGUUAGUGCAAUGGCAUAAGCCAGCUUGACUGCGAGCGUGACGGCGCGAGCAGGUGCGAAAGCAGGUCAUAGUGAUCCGGUGGUUCUGAAUGGAAGGGCCAUCGCUCAACGGAUAAAAGGUACUCCGGGGAUAACAGGCUGAUACCGCCCAAGAGUUCAUAUCGACGGCGGUGUUUGGCACCUCGAUGUCGGCUCAUCACAUCCUGGGGCUGAAGUAGGUCCCAAGGGUAUGGCUGUUCGCCAUUUAAAGUGGUACGCGAGCUGGGUUUAGAACGUCGUGAGACAGUUCGGUCCCUAUCUGCCGUGGGCGCUGGAGAACUGAGGGGGGCUGCUCCUAGUACGAGAGGACCGGAGUGGACGCAUCACUGGUGUUCGGGUUGUCAUGCCAAUGGCACUGCCCGGUAGCUAAAUGCGGAAGAGAUAAGUGCUGAAAGCAUCUAAGCACGAAACUUGCCCCGAGAUGAGUUCUCCCUGACCCUUUAAGGGUCCUGAAGGAACGUUGAAGACGACGACGUUGAUAGGCCGGGUGUGUAAGCGCAGCGAUGCGUUGAGCUAACCGGUACUAAUGAACCGUGAGGCUUAACCUU